GUUAUAUGGUCAAGUGAAGAAGCGCAUACGGUGGAUGCUUGGCAGUCAGAGGCGAUGAAAGACGUGGUAGCCUGCGAAAAGCUUCGGGGAGUCGGCAAACAGACUGUGAUCCGGAGAUGUCUGAAUGGGGGAACCCAGCCAUCACAAGAUGGUUAUCUUACACUGAAUACAUAGGUGUAAGAGGCGAACCAGGGGAACUGAAACAUCUAAGUACCCUGAGGAAAAGAAAUCAACCGAGAUUCCCUUAGUAGUGGCGAGCGAACGGGGACCAGCCCUUAAGUUGUAUUGAGAUUAGCGGAACGCUCUGGAAAGUGCGGCCAUAGUGGGUGAUAGCCCUGUACGCGAAAAUCCCUUUGCAAUGAAAUCGAGUAGGACGGGGCACGAGAAACCUUGUCUGAAUAUGGGGGGACCAUCCUCCAAGGCUAAAUACUACUGACUGACCGAUAGUGAACCAGUACCGUGAGGGAAAGGCGAAAAGAACCGCGGAGAGCGGAGUGAAAUAGAUCCUGAAACCGUAUGCGUACAAGCAGUGGGAGCCCACUUUGUUGGGUGACUGCGUACCUUUUGUAUAAUGGGUCAGCGACUUAUUUUCAGUGGCGAGCUUAACCGAAUAGGGGAGGCGUAGCGAAAGCGAGUCUUAAUAGGGCGUCUAGUCGCUGGGAAUAGACCCGAAACCGGGCGAUCUAUCCAUGGGCAGGUUGAAGGUUGGGUAACACUAACUGGAGGACCGAACCGACUACCGUUGAAAAGUUAGCGGAUGACCUGUGGAUCGGAGUGAAAGGCUAAUCAAGCUCGGAGAUAGCUGGUUCUCCUCGAAAGCUAUUUAGGUAGCGCCUCAUGUAUCACUGUAGGGGGUAGAGCACUGUUUCGGCUAGGGGGUCAUCCCGACUUACCAAACCGAUGCAAACUCCGAAUACCUACAAGUGCCGAGCAUGGGAGACACACGGCGGGUGCUAACGUCCGUCGUGAAAAGGGAAACAACCCAGACCGUCAGCUAAGGUCCCAAAGUCAUGGUUAAGUGGGAAACGAUGUGGGAAGGCUUAGACAGCUAGGAGGUUGGCUUAGAAGCAGCCACCCUUUAAAGAAAGCGUAAUAGCUCACUAGUCGAGUCGGCCUGCGCGGAAGAUGUAACGGGGCUCAAACCAUGCACCGAAGCUACGGGUAUCACCUUUGGUGAUGCGGUAGAGGAGCGUUCUGUAAGCCUGUGAAGGUGAGUUGAGAAGCUUGCUGGAGGUAUCAGAAGUGCGAAUGCUGACAUGAGUAACGACAAUGGGUGUGAAAAACACCCACGCCGAAAGACCAAGGUUUCCUGCGCAACGUUAAUCGACGCAGGGUUAGUCGGUCCCUAAGGCGAGGCUGAAAAGCGUAGUCGAUGGAAAACAGGUUAAUAUUCCUGUACUUCUGGUUAUUGCGAUGGAGGGACGGAGAAGGCUAGGCCAGCCUGGCGUUGGUAGUCCAGGUUUAAGGUGGUAGGCUGAGAUCUUAGGUAAAUCCGGGAUCUUAAGGCCGAGAGCUGAUGACGAGUGUUCUUUUAGAACAUGAAGUGGUUGAUGCCAUGCUUCCAAGAAAAGCUUCUAAGCUUCAGGUAACCAGGAACCGUACCCCAAACCGACACAGGUGGUUGGGUAGAGAAUACCAAGGCGCUUGAGAGAACUCGGGUGAAGGAACUAGGCAAAAUGGCACCGUAACUUCGGGAGAAGGUGCGCCGGUGAGGGUGAAGCAUUUACUGCGUAAGCCCACGCCGGUCGAAGAUACCAGGCCGCUGCGACUGUUUAUUAAAAACACAGCACUCUGCAAACACGAAAGUGGACGUAUAGGGUGUGACGCCUGCCCGGUGCCGGAAGGUUAAUUGAUGGGGUUAGCGCAAGCGAAGCUCUUGAUCGAAGCCCCGGUAAACGGCGGCCGUAACUAUAACGGUCCUAAGGUAGCGAAAUUCCUUGUCGGGUAAGUUCCGACCUGCACGAAUGGCGUAACGAUGGCGGCGCUGUCUCCACCCGAGACUCAGUGAAAUUGAAAUCGCUGUGAAGAUGCAGUGUAUCCGCGGCUAGACGGAAAGACCCCGUGAACCUUUACUAUAGCUUUGCACUGGACUUUGAAUUUGCUUGUGUAGGAUAGGUGGGAGGCUUUGAAGCGUGGACGCCAGUCUGCGUGGAGCCAACCUUGAAAUACCACCCUGGCAACUUUGAGGUUCUAACUCAGGUCCGUUAUCCGGAUCGAGGACAGUGUAUGGUGGGUAGUUUGACUGGGGCGGUCUCCUCCUAAAGAGUAACGGAGGAGUACGAAGGUGCGCUCAGACCGGUCGGAAAUCGGUCGUAGAGUAUAAAGGCAAAAGCGCGCUUGACUGCGAGACAGACACGUCGAGCAGGUACGAAAGUAGGUCUUAGUGAUCCGGUGGUUCUGUAUGGAAGGGCCAUCGCUCAACGGAUAAAAGGUACUCCGGGGAUAACAGGCUGAUACCGCCCAAGAGUUCAUAUCGACGGCGGUGUUUGGCACCUCGAUGUCGGCUCAUCACAUCCUGGGGCUGAAGCCGGUCCCAAGGGUAUGGCUGUUCGCCAUUUAAAGUGGUACGCGAGCUGGGUUUAGAACGUCGUGAGACAGUUCGGUCCCUAUCUGCCGUGGACGUUUGAGAUUUGAGAGGGGCUGCUCCUAGUACGAGAGGACCGGAGUGGACGAACCUCUGGUGUUCCGGUUGUCACGCCAGUGGCAUUGCCGGGUAGCUAUGUUCGGAAAAGAUAACCGCUGAAAGCAUCUAAGCGGGAAACUUGCCUCAAGAUGAGAUCUCACUGGAACCUAGAGUUCCCUGAAGGGCCGUCGAAGACUACGACGUUGAUAGGUUGGGUGUGUAAGCGCUGUGAGGCGUUGAGCUAACCAAUACUAAUUGCCCGUGAGGCUUGACCAUAUAACACCCAAGCAAUU
Molecule: ribosomal RNA, 2916 nt
Filed under: Pseudomonas syringae pv. actinidiae
Lineage: Bacteria; Pseudomonadati; Pseudomonadota; Gammaproteobacteria; Pseudomonadales; Pseudomonadaceae
Description: 23S ribosomal RNA
Rfam family: Bacterial large subunit ribosomal RNA
Source: RNAcentral